Molecule: ribosomal RNA, 468 nt
Filed under: uncultured bacterium
Lineage: Bacteria
Description: partial 16S ribosomal RNA
Rfam family: Bacterial small subunit ribosomal RNA
Source: RNAcentral
GACGAACGCUGGCGGCGUGCUUAACACAUGCAAGUCGAACGGAAAGGCCCUGCUUUUGUGGGGUGCUCGAGUGGCGAACGGGUGAGUAACACGUGAGUAACCUGCCCUUGACUUUGGGAUAACUUCAGGAAACUGGGGCUAAUACCGGAUAGGAGCUCCUGCUGCAUGGUGGGGGUUGGAAAGUUUCGGCGGUUGGGGAUGGACUCGCGGCUUAUCAGCUUGUUGGUGGGGUAGUGGCUUACCAAGGCUUUGACGGGUAGCCGGCCUGAGAGGGUGACCGGCCUCAUUGGGACUGAGAUACGGCCCAGACUCCUACGGGAGGCAGCAGUGGGGAAUAUUGCACAAUGGGCGGAAGCCUGAUGAAGCAACGCCGCGUGCGGGAUGACGGCCUUCGGGUUGUAAACCGCUUUCGCCUGUGACGAAGCGUGAGUGACGGUAAUGGGUAAAGAAGCACCGGCUAACUACGUG